ACGGGUGAGUAAUGUCUGGGGAUCUGCCCGAUAGAGAGGGAUAACCACUGGAAACGGUGGCUAAUACCGCAUAACGUCGCAAGACCAAAGAGGGGGACCUUCGGGCCUCUCACUAUCGGAUGAACCCAGAUGGGAUUAGCUAGUAGGCGGGGUAAUGGCCCACCUAGGCGACGAUCCCUAGCUGGUCUGAGAGGAUGACCAGCCACACUGGAACUGAGACACGGUCCAGACUCCUACGGGAGGCAGCAGUGGGGAAUAUUGCACAAUGGGCGCAAGCCUGAUGCAGCCAUGCCGCGUGUAUGAAGAAGGCCUUCGGGUUGUAAAGUACUUUCAGCGGGGAGGAAGGCGACAGGGUUAAUAACCCUGUCGAUUGACGUUACCCGCAGAAGAAGCACCGGCUAACUCCGUGCCAGCAGCCGCGGUAAUACGGAGGGUGCAAGCGUUGAUCGGAAUUACUGGGCGUAAAGCGCACGCAGGCGGUCUGUUAAGUCAGAUGUGAAAUCCCCGGGCUUAACCUGGGAACUGCAUUUGAAACUGGCAGGCUUGAGUCUUGUAGAGGGGGGUAGAAUUCCAGGUGUAGC
This 581-nucleotide ribosomal RNA is filed under the name uncultured Pantoea sp. RNAcentral's name for it is "bacterial SSU rRNA". It matches the Rfam family "Bacterial small subunit ribosomal RNA", at positions 102 to 679 of the family's 1533-position model. The record is from RNAcentral. Lineage: Bacteria; Pseudomonadati; Pseudomonadota; Gammaproteobacteria; Enterobacterales; Erwiniaceae.